CGGCGAGUGAAGCGGCAAAAGCUCAAAUUUGAAAUCUGGUACCUUUGGUGCCCGAGUUGUAAUUUGGAGAGGGCAACUUUGGGACCGUUCCUUGUCUAUGUUCCUUGGAACAGGACGUCAUAGAGGGUGAGAAUCCCGUGUGGCGAGGAGUGCGGUUCUAUGUAAAGUGCCUUCGAAGAGUCGAGUUGUUUGGGAAUGCAGCUCUAAGUGGGUGGUAAAUUCCAUCUAAAGCUAAAUAUUGGCGAGAGACCGAUAGCGAACAAGUACAGUGAUGGAAAGAUGAAAAGAACUUUGAAAAGAGAGUGAAAAAGUACGUGAAAUUGUUGAAAGGGAAGGGCAUUUGAUCAGACAUGGUGUUUUGCGCCCUCUGCUCCUUGUGGGUGGGGGAAUCUCGCAGUUCACUGGGCCAGCAUCAGUUUUGGUGGCAGGAUAAAUCCGUAGGAAUGUAACUUGCUUCGGGAAGUAUUAUAGCCUAUGGGAAUACUGCCAGCUGGGACUGAGGACUGCGACGUA
This 513-nucleotide ribosomal RNA is filed under the name Saccharomyces cf. bayanus/pastorianus. Its description in RNAcentral is "LSU rRNA". It matches the Rfam family "Eukaryotic large subunit ribosomal RNA", at positions 87 to 603 of the family's 3401-position model. Lineage: Eukaryota; Fungi; Ascomycota; Saccharomycetes; Saccharomycetales; Saccharomycetaceae. The record is from RNAcentral.